GUCCCCAUAGCUCAGUUGGACAGAGCGCGGCGCUACGAACGCCGAGGCCCGAGGUUCGACUCCUCGUGGGGACA
RNAcentral lists this transfer RNA (74 nucleotides) under Actinocrispum wychmicini. It matches the Rfam family "tRNA". Rfam says of the family: Transfer RNA (tRNA) molecules are approximately 80 nucleotides in length. Their secondary structure includes four short double-helical elements and three loops (D, anti-codon, and T loops). Further hydrogen bonds mediate the characteristic L-shaped molecular structure. tRNAs have two regions of fundamental functional importance: the anti-codon, which is responsible for specific mRNA codon recognition, and the 3' end, to which the tRNAs corresponding amino acid is attached (by aminoacyl-tRNA synthetases). tRNAs cope with the degeneracy of the genetic code in two manners: having more than one tRNA (with a specific anti-codon) for a particular amino acid; and 'wobble' base-pairing, i.e. permitting non-standard base-pairing at the 3rd anti-codon position. The record is from Rfam by way of RNAcentral. Lineage: Bacteria; Bacillati; Actinomycetota; Actinomycetes; Pseudonocardiales; Pseudonocardiaceae.